Molecule: ribosomal RNA, 497 nt
Filed under: uncultured bacterium
Lineage: Bacteria
Description: partial 16S ribosomal RNA
Rfam family: Bacterial small subunit ribosomal RNA
Source: RNAcentral
GAUGAACGCUGGCGGCGUGCCUAAUACAUGCAAGUAGAACGCUGAAGGAAGGAGCUUGCUCUUUCCGGAUGAGUUGCGAACGGGUGAGUAACGCGUAGGUAACCUGCCUGGUAGCGGGGGAUAACUAUUGGAAACGAUAGCUAAUACCGCAUAACAGUAGAUGUUGCAUGAUAUCUACUUAAAAGGUGCAAUUGCACCACUACCAGAUGGACCUGCGUUGUAUUAGCUAGUUGGUGAGGUAACGGCUCACCAAGGCGACGAUACAUAGCCGACCUGAGAGGGUGAUCGGCCACACUGGGACUGGGACACGGCCCAGACUCCUACGGGAGGCAGCAGUAGGGAAUCUUCGGCAAUGGACGGAAGUCUGACCGAGCAACGCCGCGUGAGUGAAGAAGGGUUUCGGAUCGUAAAGCUCUGUUGUAAGAGAAGAACGAGUGUGAGAGUGGAAAGUUCACACUGUGACGGUAUCUUACCAGAAAGGGACGGCUAACUACGUG